Molecule: unclassified non-coding RNA, 253 nt
Filed under: uncultured Kofleriaceae bacterium
Lineage: Bacteria; Pseudomonadati; Myxococcota; Haliangiales; Kofleriaceae
Description: contains 16S-23S intergenic spacer region
Rfam family: Bacterial small subunit ribosomal RNA
Source: RNAcentral
UACGGAGGGUGCAAACGUUGCUCGGAAUCAUUGGGCGUAAAGCGCACGUAGGCGGCUCGCUAAGUCGGAUGUGAAAGCCCUCGGCUCAACCGAGGAAGUGCAUUCGAAACUGGCGAGCUUGAGUACGGGAGAGGGUCGCGGAAUUCCCGGUGUAGAGGUGAAAUUCGUAGAUAUCGGGAGGAACACCAGUGGCGAAGGCGGCGGCCUGGACCGAUACUGACGCUGAGGUGCGAAAGCGUGGGGAGCAAACAGG